Styela clava is the source of this 4984-nucleotide non-coding RNA. Lineage: Eukaryota; Metazoa; Chordata; Ascidiacea; Stolidobranchia; Styelidae. The record is from RefSeq and is a predicted model, not a curated record.
UCAGAAUACCAAAAUAUUCAGUUCACUGCGGCGAGAUGACUUGCAAUUGCUGUCAUGCACGUUAACCAUAUCAUGGGCAGACUGAAUGCUCCAAGGAUCUCUAGUACGUCAUCGACUUGGAAAAGGUUAAAGAAAAUUUCAUAACACUAGAGUGUUAAGAGAAGACCAGCCUCGACAUCAACCAACCAAGGCUAUCCGAAGUUCAGCGUAGUUCUGAACGUAUCAUUUCGUUUGUCGUUUAUGUUCGUUAAACGAACACUUCUUGAUGUGGAUUCAGAGCCAUCGGGCGAAAAGCAAAGGGCGCGAAGAUGGAAGAUAGGACUCUACGCUUCGCUAGAGGAUUCUUCACUUGUGUGGUACAACAAAUUUCGUCUGUCGAUUUAUUAGUUAGUCAGCAAGGAAUGACUAGAUAGGGUUCGACAGACGAAUUUAGUCUAGGUGGUUAGAUGGCUGUUAUUAGCUUUUUAGCAAAGAAUUCAGUCCGUCGGGCAUUUAAAAUUUGAAACUAAAUUUUUUUAUAACUAUAAUCUGGCGCUUUAUGGGCGUGUACAUUAUACAUAGAUUAAUCAGUAUAAAUUUCUUAGUAAUGGGCAUUUAUUUGACAUCUCUUUCUCAUGUAUCGAUCCACAUAGUAAUAUUUCGUGGUCGAUUUGAUAGUCUAAUAUUUGGAAUAGGAAAACUAACCAUGUUUUUUCUUUCAAUAAUGCCGAAACCUUUCUAUGGUUACAAUUAGCAAUGCGAUAUCUUUGUUAUUAUUGCUCCUUAAAAUUUGACCGACCAAAUUUAAUAAAGAAGGGUUUCGGUUAGGCUUAACACUGCACUGAAUUAUGUAUUAUUAGUUAGAUAGGGCGUUAGGUUUUUGUUCUUUAUUUCUUGGAUUGAGCUUCAAAGUCUCCUAAAUUAAAUCGGUCACAUGGAGCACAUAUUUGAAUGAGACUUGGAGCUUUUUUCCUUGUUAGGCCAUAGUACAGGGUGCCCGCAAAUUGUGGGACGAAGCAGACGAAAGACAUCGAAAAGUACCACAAUUCCUCUUUGGUGCAAUAAAUGGUCAUAAAUGUUAAACUUGACUACAGAAAUUGUUUGAAAAAAUAUUCUGAAUCAUAUUUAGUUUUUUCAGUACUCAGAUUUAUUUGAAAACUAUUGGCCACUAUUGCACUUAAAGAGGUGAAGUCUUGGAUUAAUAUUGAACGGGUUUUCUUACCCAGAUUCAAUAUUACCAAGCCCAGUCGCACAAAGCUUCUGGUAAGGUAGUUAGACUAGGGCAAAUAGUAGUUGAUGACUUUAGCAUUGUGGCGCACACAAUUGUAUCAUGCACUUACCAUAAACCACGCAAAAACGACUGUGUAAAACUGAAGUUUAAAGUUAUUAUUAAGAUUCGGCCAACUGUGCGCCAAGGCAAAGUCAUCUGCUAUGCCUCUUAGAUGUUGCCUUAGUUCGCAGGCAACUUAGGAUUUGUUAGGCCGGUCAGCUUUCAGUUUAUAUAUCAAGAGAUUAGUACGGCAGUCAUAAACAAACUCAUAAAUUGCAAUAUUUGGGUUCGUGUUUAGGAUUGCAGGGGGAGCUGACGCCCGCGCUUCGAUCUAGACAGCCCAAACCCCAGGUGCUUGCACCAUUUAGCUAGGAUUCACUCCAACGUAGCAGAGUGAAAUAGCCCGCGCACAGGAUAAAUCUAGGUUUGGUUAAUAAAAGCUGACCUUAGGCAGGUUAGAAUAUGUAGGGAACGCUCCGUUCACUGCAAUAUUAGAUCAGGUCGGCGUAAAUAGACUUUGUCAAACUAGGGUCAAAAAUCGUUCGCUUGGAUGUUGAGAUGGGUGGUUGGGACGGCCGGAUAGUUAGUUUUUUUAGUUAGGGAUAGAUAGGUAUAAGGGUGAAGAGUUAUUAUCACUCGCACUGUUGUCCUCUCUUGUGACUUCAAGCUGGGUUUGAUAAUUUACUUUUUCACGGUGAUAGGGACGCAUUAGGAGAAUGAAUGAUGUAAAGGUUCCCAGACAUCUUGUCUGGGGAUUAAAACUCUUUUCUCUUUCAAAUAUACUUCUAGGCUAUAUUUUUACACUUGUGCGUAGGUAAUUUUACAUGGUUAAUUGUCUUAGCGACAAAACCAUGUUCAUACACUUUGAUUUCGUGCAAUAGAGUACAAGACCUUUAUCAUAUUCGACUUACUUUUCCAUCGUGUUCCAUACACAGCAAUGUCGUGCAAUCAAAUGCAAGACAAUUAUCAUCUAUCGACUUGGUUUUUCUCAUAUUCAUAUACAACACCCUACUGUCGUGCAAUAAAAUGCAAGACGUUACUUUUGAUUUUCGUUGGUAUUGUGUUUAAGACAAACCAUAUUGCCGUGCUAUCGAAUGCAAGGCAUCUAUAUGCAGUGCCGUGCAAACAACUGUACGGCACUUUUUAUUUAGUAUACAUCACACUUUUUUAUUUGUUCUACUGUCGUGCAAUCAAAUGCAAGACAUUACUUUUGUUUUUUUUUGUGGUUUAUUGUGUUUGAGACAAACCAUAUUGCCGUGCAAUCGAAUGCAAGGCAUCUAUAUGCAGUGCCGUGCAAACAACUGUACGGCACUUUUUAUUUAGUAUACAUCACACUUUUUUAUUUGUUCAGCUAUUUACUUAUCAGUGUCACCCUUUUCCUGAUAAUUUGCUUCUGUAUAAACCAUCAUUUCGUCAACUAACACUGUUUUCAUAUUUUCAGAUAUCAUCCAAAGAAGAUGAAAACUAGUUACUUUCAUUAAUUUUUCCGAAGCUUAACUUAAUUCGACUGAUCCAGAUUAAUGUUUUUUUCAUUAAUAUAAAAUGGCUGGUUUUGAUUGGCACCGAAAAUAAAUUCGAUCAAACAUGUUUUCUCCAAUGGACAAGUUUCCGAUAAUAUGAAAUGACUAUGGUUCGUAUUUACCAUCAACAAAUUCGAGCCAACUAACAUUCGACUGACGAACUUCCGAAAUUGGGAUUAAUUGUGGUACAAACUGACAUUACCAAUCCAGCGGAAAUUAUUGGUUUCUAUUAAUGUGAAAUGACUGGCACUCAAAAUAACUCGGCACACACAACAAUAUUUGGCUCAAUCAAACAUUUUGAUAAUUCAUUGAAUUUAGCUGCAAAUAUAUUAGCGCAGCCAUCAGUAUUUAGCAUUCCAGUAAUGUCCAACAACCGGCGUUUAAAUUAAACAAUAAUUAAAAUUGGGCCAGUUAACAUUUGCUACAGAUACAGUGUUUCCAGUAAUAUGAAUCCAGAUUGAUCUUCUACUAAAUUGGUCAUUAUUAAUUGGGUAUAACAUAAAUAAAUUGGCUGCCCAUCAUCGUUAGUUAGCCUUACGAUACAAAAUUAGGCUAUAUGACAAAGUUGGGCAAAAUAAAUAUUUUGGGCCAGCCUGUUGUCUUAAGAAAACGUUUUAUGAAAAUAGGAAGUGACUAUCGAUAAGACGGCUUAUCCAGUUAAAUUUUCAGAUGCAUGGACUUGGUUUUCGACGCAUGGACUUAAUAGUUGAGGGAGGCUUUAGCGGAUAAGCGGUCAUGUAAAACACCUAACUCACAAAUUGGGCGUUAAAACAUUAAUUUGUUACGUGAAUCACCCUAACUGAUAAAUUGGGCGUUAAACAAUAAUUGGUCUAACCAAAAGUGGAUUGAUUCGAUAAAUUGCACCAUCCAACAUUCUUGGCCUUAACAAAUUUUCCGAUGUUCCAAAUUUGUUGAAAUGACAAUUCAGAUUGACAUUAGCUUAUAAAAAAAUUUCGAAUAUUUUGAAAUGACUGGUUUUAAAUUGGAGACUAAAAUGAAUUUACGAGUUCACCAACACUAAUUGACUUGCCCGAAUCCUAUUGCCAGAUUGGUUGAGAUCACCCAAUGAGAGUUACCUAUGUUACAAGGCUAGAUGUAGUUGUAAGAUAUGCAAUCCGAUAAAUGUGAAAAGAACAAUUUCAGAGUGUAAAAAGUCAUAUUGAGAAAUACUUUAUAAAUUUGUAGAAAAAGAGGCGUGAAAGAGCUAAGUUAUGUAAAACCGAAGCCAAUUGAAACGGUUAAGCCUGUUAUUUAUCAACGUAAGUUAUCAGUACAGAAAAAAUUGUACAGUAAUACAUUACAGUAACUGCCCAAUAUAUGCAAGAAAGCCAGAGAGAGAUCAAGAAAAUUUUGAAGAAUUUAGCAAGAUAUGUGAUGCAUGACUGCAAAGCUGUAUGUGAACAUUCGAAAGAUAAAAACCGUUUUUGGACAUGCCCUAAGAUCCCAAUCAUAGCCUACAAGACUAUUUUCGUGAACUACAUAUCCAGCCAAUAAAAUUAGACAUUGGCGGAAUAGUUUCAACAUUUGUUGUUUGUUUAUGAUAGCUUGAGCAGUAUAAUAUCUAUUUGAUCAGGAAAUGCAACGUUCAGAUAUUAGGAAUAAGUUUAUAUUAACGAGUCUGAUCUGGCGUUGGGCCAAGUGCAGAGGCUGAAAGAUAGGCUUAUCAAUUAAAUAUGCAGCGUAAAAUUAACGCAAAAAUUCCACCUCUGGCUGUAUUUGAAGAAUCAAGUCUACAUUGAAAUCGUAUAUAUUUACAACCGAAAAGGUUUUCAAGACUACCAUUCUCGGUAACUACAUGUUGCUUGCCAACCAUUUGUAACUUGUACAAUGAAGCAUAUGAAGUUACAGCUAAUGAAUACAUGUCAGAGUAGAUAUUUUUGUAGCAAACACAACAGUCAGUUAAUUACAAUUAAUUAGAUAAGAAUUCAGAGGUCGAGGCCGAUCAAGUUCAUCUUAAGCAGACUCUGAUAACUCAGUUCAUCAGUUUCUUGUAGACACAUAAUCUGUACAAUUUAGGCAGAUAACAGCUCAGAUAAGUUUGUUAUAGUGUUAUUGCUUAUAACAGAAAUGAGAUAUUUUAGUUACUGAAUGACGGACCUCUACGGACGUUGGAUACCACAUAAUCCUGAGAUUCGUGCCCCCAUUUACUCAGCAAAGAAUAAAAGGAACGGCAAUUCAAGGAAACUGUUCAACUAACUUCAUAAUCAAAGUGAGA